This 497-nucleotide ribosomal RNA is filed under the name uncultured bacterium. RNAcentral's name for it is "partial 16S ribosomal RNA". It matches the Rfam family "Bacterial small subunit ribosomal RNA", at positions 28 to 507 of the family's 1533-position model. The record is from RNAcentral.
GAUGAACGCUGGCGGCGUGCCUAAUACAUGCAAGUCGAGCGAACAGACGAGGAGCUUGCUCCUCUGACGUUAGCGGAAGACGGGUGAGAAACACGUGGAUAACCUACCUAUAAGACUGGGAUAACUUCGGGAAACCGGAGCUAAUACCGGAUAAUAUAUUGAACCGCAUGGGUCAAUAGUGAAAGACGGUUUUGCUGUCACUUAUAGAUGGAUCCCGGCCGCAUUAGCUAGUUGGUGAGGUAACGGCUUACCAAGGCAACGAUGCGUAGCCGACCUGUGGGGGUGAUCGCCCACACGGGAGCUUGGACGCGGUCCAGACUCCUACGGUAGGCAGCAGUAGGGAAUGUGACGCAAUGGGCGAAAGCCUUACGGAGCGACGCCGCGCGAGUGAUGAAAGUCUUCGGAUCGUAAAACUGUGUUACUAGUGAAGAACAAAUGUGUAAGUAACUGAGCACGUCUUGACGGUACCUAAUCAGAAAGCCACGGCUAACUACGUG